This 510-nucleotide ribosomal RNA is filed under the name Macropharyngodon choati (Choat's wrasse). Its description in RNAcentral is "partial 12S ribosomal RNA". It matches the Rfam family "Bacterial small subunit ribosomal RNA", at positions 783 to 1521 of the family's 1533-position model. Lineage: Eukaryota; Metazoa; Chordata; Actinopteri; Labriformes; Labridae. The record is from RNAcentral.
UACCCCACUAUGCCUAGCCCUAAACAUCGAUGCUAACCUACUUAUUCUAUCCGCCAGGGUACUACGAGCAUUAGCUUAAAACCCAAAGGACUUGGCGGUGCUUUAGAUCCACCUAGAGGAGCCUGUUCUAGAACCGAUAAUCCCCGUUAAACCUCACCUUUUCUUGCCAUAUCCGCCUAUAUACCGCCGUCGUCAGCUUACUCUGUGAGGAGCUUGAAGUAAGCACAACCGGCACAGCCCAAAACGUCAGGUCGAGGUGUAGCGAAUGAAAAGGGAAGAAAUGGGCUACAUUCAAUAUUUAUAAUGAAUACGAAUGAUGCCUUGAAAGAGACAUCUGAAGGAGGAUUUAGCAGUAAGCAGGGAAUAGAGAGCCCUGCUGAAAUUGGCCCUGAAGCGCGUACACACCGCCCGUCACUCUCCCCGAGCUAAUAUGAAUUAAUUUCUAAUAAGCAAAACCUGCAAAGGGGAGGCAAGUCGUAACAUGGUAAGCGUACCGGAAGGUGCGCUUGG